ACUCCUACGGAAGGCAGCAGUGGGGAAUUUUGGACAAUGGGCGCAAGCCUGAUCCAGCCAUGCCGCGUGAGUGAAGAAGGCCUUCGGGUUGUAAAGCUCUUUCGGCCGGGAAGAAAUCGCAUGGGUUAAUACCCUGUGUGGAUGACGGUACCGGAAUAAGAAGCACCGGCUAACUACGUGCCAGCAGCCGCGGUAAU
Molecule: ribosomal RNA, 197 nt
Filed under: uncultured bacterium
Lineage: Bacteria
Description: partial 16S ribosomal RNA
Rfam family: Bacterial small subunit ribosomal RNA
Source: RNAcentral